RNAcentral lists this ribosomal RNA (432 nucleotides) under uncultured bacterium. RNAcentral's name for it is "partial 16S ribosomal RNA". It matches the Rfam family "Bacterial small subunit ribosomal RNA", at positions 29 to 507 of the family's 1533-position model. The record is from RNAcentral.
ACGAACGCUGGCGGCAUGCCUAACACAUGCAAGUCGAACGAGACCUUCGGGUCUAGUGGCGCACGGGUGCGUAACGCGUGGGAACCUGCCCUUAGGUUCGGAAUAACUCCCCGAAAGGGGUGCUAAUACCGGAUAAUGUCUUCGGACCAAAGAUUUAUCGCCUUUGGAUGGGCCCGCGUUGGAUUGGCUAGUUGGUAGGGUAAAAGCCUACCAAGGCGACGAUCCAUAGCUGGUCUGGGAGGAUGAUCAGCCACACUGGGACUGAGACACGGCCCAGACUCCUACGGGAGGCAGCAGUGGGGAAUAUUGGACAAUGGGCGAAAGCCUGAUCCAGCAAUGCCGCGUGAGUGAUGAAGGCCUUAGGGUUGUAAAGCUCUUUUACCCGGGAUGAUAAUGACAGUACCGGGAGAAUAAGCUCCGGCUAACUCCGUG